CGGAGUGAAAGGGGAAGAGCCCAGCGCUGAAUCUCUCGGUCUUAGGCCGCUGAGAACUGUAGCGUAUAGGUGUGACUGUCCUGCUAUAUUGCAUUUCCGAAGUCUCUUUGAUAGGGGCCAACAUCCAGAGAGGGUGCGAGACCUGUACGGAAAGUAGUAUAGUUGGUAUGGUUACUCCUUGGAGUCGGGUUGCUUGAAAGUGCAGCCUAAAGUUGGUGAUAAACUUCAUCUAAGGCUAAAUAUCGACGCGAAAUCGAUAGCAAACAAGUACCGUGAGGGAAAGUUGCAAAGAACUUUGAAGAGAGAGUUCAAGAGAACGUGAAAUCGCUGAAGUGGAACCGGAGAGAGUUAACAUAACUUGGUAGCUAUAUCCUCUAAAGUCGCUUAACUGUGGCUCUGGGGGGUGGACGCUACCUGUUGUUGCACUGACUGCGUUGAUUGUGCUUUCCGAACAGUAUAGUGUUGCCCACUUUGUGGUGUCUUGCUUUCUGGGAGGUUUGUCAUAAUUAACGUAAAGCCAAUUCCCUUUGGAGUCAGUGUGAAAGUUAACCACCUUUCCGACCCGUCUUGAAACACGGACCGAGGAGUGUAAUUUAUACGCGAGUCAAGGGGUGGUGAAAACCCUAGGGGCGGAAUGAAAGUAAAGGCCGGUUAACCGGUUGACAUGGGAUCCGCUCUUCGGAGCGGCGCACCAUGGCCCUGUCUUGUCUGCUUGCAGAUGGGCAGCGGUAGAGCGUAUAGUUUGCGACCCGAAAGAUGGUGAACUAUGCUUGAGCAGGACGAAGCCAGAGGAAACUCUGGUGGAAGUCCGUAUCGGUUCUGACGUGCAAAUCGAUCGAUAGACUUGGGUAUAGGGGCGAAAGACUAAUCGAACCGUCUAGUAGCUGGUUCCCUCCGAA
Molecule: ribosomal RNA, 899 nt
Filed under: Heterorhabditis bacteriophora
Lineage: Eukaryota; Metazoa; Nematoda; Chromadorea; Rhabditida; Heterorhabditidae
Description: partial large subunit ribosomal RNA
Rfam family: Eukaryotic large subunit ribosomal RNA
Source: RNAcentral